RNAcentral lists this ribosomal RNA (763 nucleotides) under uncultured Streptococcus sp. RNAcentral describes it as "bacterial SSU rRNA". It matches the Rfam family "Bacterial small subunit ribosomal RNA", at positions 28 to 776 of the family's 1533-position model. Lineage: Bacteria; Bacillati; Bacillota; Bacilli; Lactobacillales; Streptococcaceae. The record is from RNAcentral.
GACGAACGCUGGCGGCGUGCCUAAUACAUGCAAGUAGAACGCUGAAGGAGGAGCUUGCUUCUCUGGAUGAGUUGCGAACGGGUGAGUAACGCGUAGGUAACCUGCCUGGUAGCGGGGGAUAACUAUUGGAAACGAUAGCUAAUACCGCAUAAGAGUAGAUGUUGCAUGACAUUUGCUUAAAAGGUGCAAUUGCAUCACUACCAGAUGGACCUGCGUUGUAUUAGCUAGUUGGUGGGGUAACGGCUCACCAAGGCGACGAUACAUAGCCGACCUGAGAGGGUGAUCGGCCACACUGGGACUGAGACACGGCCCAGACUCCUACGGGAGGCAGCAGUAGGGAAUCUUCGGCAAUGGACGGAAGUCUGACCGAGCAACGCCGCGUGAGUGAAGAAGGUUUUCGGAUCGUAAAGCUCUGUUGUAAGAGAAGAACGAGUGUGAGAGUGGAAAGUUCACACUGUGACGGUAUCUUACCAGAAAGGGACGGCUAACUACGUGCCAGCAGCCGCGGUAAUACGUAGGUCCCGAGCGUUGUCCGGAUUUAUUGGGCGUAAAGCGAGCGCAGGCGGUUAGAUAAGUCUGAAGUUAAAGGCUGUGGCUUAACCAUAGUACGCUUUGGAAACUGUUUAACUUGAGUGCAAGAGGGGAGAGUGGAAUUCCAUGUGUAGCGGUGAAAUGCGUAGAUAUAUGGAGGAACACCGGUGGCGAAGGCGGCUCUCUGGCUUGUAACUGACGCUGAGGCUCGAAAGCGUGGGGAGCAAACAGG